UCUCCGUUGGUCUAGGGGUUAUGACUGUGGACUUUGAAUCCACCAACAUCAGUUCGAAUCUGGUACGGAGAA
Molecule: non-coding RNA, 72 nt
Organism: Pelagophyceae sp. CCMP2097
Lineage: Eukaryota; Pelagophyceae
Source: the annotation of a GenBank genome assembly